ACCUAUUGGACCCGGGGGCGGUACCCGGCGCCUCCACCAAAGUAUAAACAACCAAAAUUAUAUUUUGGUGGGGGCGAAAUAGGAUCGACAAGGGUGUAAAGAUCGCUCUUUUACUCGGUAUUGUACCACCGUUAUCGGGCUAAAUGAGUAGUUGCAAAUGACAACUAUGCGGAAAUACGUCGCGCCGCUUAAGUGGUGUGAAUGUUUCAAAUUGAGUCUUAAACCGUCGCAGGUUUAAGCGGGGUUCGAAGG
Molecule: transfer-messenger RNA, 252 nt
Filed under: Bartonella phoceensis
Lineage: Bacteria; Pseudomonadati; Pseudomonadota; Alphaproteobacteria; Hyphomicrobiales; Bartonellaceae
Description: partial ssrA
Rfam family: Alphaproteobacteria transfer-messenger RNA
About the family: Bacterial tmRNA, also known as 10Sa RNA or SsrA, is named for its dual tRNA and mRNA-like properties. Its role is to liberate the mRNA from a stalled ribosome.
Source: RNAcentral